AAGGCCGCUGAGAAAAUGAAAACAUUGAAAACAAUUCGACGAAAAAGAACUUGUUGGUGAAUGGUAGUUUUAAGAAUUUCACAAUUUUCGGACUUUAAAAUUAAUAAUUAUAUAUUUCUGGUGUACUUUAAAUUAAAUAAAUUAUAUUUUCCGUUUUUAACGUGACCACGUACAUAUAGUACCUCUGAUGUAUAAAAUGAUGUAUGUUUGUUACUUCAGAUAAUAAACAACAACUAACAUUCAAUCAGAUAAAGAAAAAAAAAUAACCGAAAUGCUGUUGAAAAGUUAUCUAUAAUGUCUGAACACAGGAAACAUUCUAGGAUCUCGGUGAUGCAAAUGUUUCAUGAGCUCAAACAGCAAUUUCCAACAGUUCCAGAUCAAGUUGUUUCUGAUUGUAUUCUCAAGCAUUCAACUAAUCGAGAAGCUUGUAUAUCAAAUCUAAGAAGUGUUCAAAAAAAUUAUGUUCAACAAACUUAUCCAUCUGACAUUGUAGAUAAAAUGGCUAACAGGCCCAAGUCUCUUGAAAUGUCACAAAAUAAUCUAUCCUUGCCUAAAUUACAAUUUUCAAAUAGACCACAUCAAUUUGAUGAAACUAAGGAUUUAAUAAACACAAAUAGAAGUGAUAUAGAUAACACACAAAUUUUAGAUAUAGAUUUUAAUAUAAAUAGAUGUCAAUGUUCAUCUGUUUCGGCACCCUCAACUCCUUUACAGCGGCAUCAAGGAGAGCAUAGACACAAAUCUUGUCUUUCAUUAGAUUCUGUGCCAUUUGUUGAUACACAGUAUCGACCAUUUACUUCUGUAAGCCUCACCUUAAGAACGCCUACUAAAGAUCCUUUACCUCCUUUAGAUUUAUCAGCUGGAGGAGGUUCUGAACUCACGUAUACAGCUUGUUCAUUUGAUCCAACAACUGACCCUAAAAAUUGUUAUCAAUCAAGACUUCACAUAAGUAUUGACCCCGAAGGUGAAACAACUGUGACUACUUCUCGUGUUAUGGUAUCUCCUACAAAUAUUAAAUCUAUUAAUCGAAUGACUGAAAUUCAACUUCCUGGAUCAGUUCAAAUUGAAAAUAUAUUACCUAAAACUAAAAUGGUAAUUAAUGCUCAAUUAGAACGUAAGCAGAAGUUGGCUUUAGAAUUGUCGGCUGAAAAACAAAGACUAGAAAUUAUGAAAAAAAAUGUAGCAUUGAUGGAAGAAGAUAUUUCUAAAAGGCGUUCAUAUUCCAGAAAGAUUGAACGUUUAAGAAAUGAUGUUGAAUUAUUACGAAUAGAAUGUAACAAAUUAACUGUUCAAGUUGAUACAGCAACAGAAAAUCAAGCAGUUCCAUUGGAAAAAACAAAUAAACAAUUUUAUAAUAAAAUUUAUACUGGACAAAAAGUUUCUUUUGGGAAAACGCACAAAGAAUAUCAAGAACAUUCUGAAAACCAAAACUGGGUUUGUCCUAUGUGCACAUUCCAAAAUCAUCCAAUAUUACCAAGAUGUGAACAAUGUGAUAUGGCUCGCUUCGAUCUAGGUACUACUACAUCAGUUAUGAACAACAAUAUUCCCAUGUGCACCAAAUUAACUGCAAAUCUAACAAGACAAUGCUUAACAUGAGUUUGAAACUUUUUGCAGUGUGUGAUGGAAAACCACAGCCAUAUCCUGGAAAUAUUCAUGUAAGAGUUACGCAUCGAUUAAAUCAUCAAAGAAAAACUACAAGUUUAUACUGAAGUAUUGAUUUUGGAUGUUUGUUGAACUGAGUCAUCAGUGUCUUCGUUUGAUUGAACGAAAUUCAAUUUCUCCUAAUGCCUUUAAUGUGAUACUUAAAAGUAUAGGGCUAUUUUUUUUUUAUUUUGCAUCGUAUUUUACAUUACAAAUAUCUAAAUGGAGUAUAUGGAUAUUUAUAGAGGACUUGAUAAUUGCUCAUUUAUACUGUUAUUAAAAAUUGUCAAUGCUCUAGAUACACUAUGUACAAUGUUAAAAAUAAUUUUGUAAACUGAUGAGUAAAUACUUUUUAUACAAGUUGAAAUUUAAAUAAUGUUAUGUAAUUGAGUGAUAAAGUUACACAAUUUUUAUAAGUAUAAGAUUUACCAAAUUACAUUAAUUAAAAUCAAUAACAUUUUAUUUGUAUAAAAU
This 2112-nucleotide unclassified non-coding RNA is filed under the name Rhopalosiphum maidis (corn leaf aphid). RNAcentral describes it as "uncharacterized LOC113560663, transcript variant X4". Lineage: Eukaryota; Metazoa; Arthropoda; Insecta; Hemiptera; Aphididae. The record is from RNAcentral.